This 470-nucleotide ribosomal RNA is filed under the name uncultured bacterium. RNAcentral describes it as "bacterial SSU rRNA". It matches the Rfam family "Bacterial small subunit ribosomal RNA", at positions 28 to 448 of the family's 1533-position model. The record is from RNAcentral.
GAUGAACGCUGGCGGCGUGCCUAAUACAUGCAAGUCGAGCGGUAAGGCUCUCACAGAUUAUUUGAUCGGGGUUAAUCCUAAACUCUCUCCGGCUGGAGAAAGGGAAAGAUCGAAUAAUGUGUGAGAGUACACGAGCGGCGGACGGCUGAGUAACGCGUAGGAACGUACCCCAGACUGAGGAAUAAGCUCUGGAAACAGAGUCUAAUACCGCAUAGUCUCUUCGGAGUAAAGCUUCGGCGGUUUGGGAACGGCCUGCGUAUGAUUAGCUUGUUGGUGAGGUAAAAGCUCACCAAGGCGACGAUCAUUAGCUGGUCUGAGAGGAUGAUCAGCCAGACUGGGACUGAGAACGGCCCAGACUCCUACGGGAGGCAGCAGUAGGGAAUUUUCCGACAAUGGGCGAAAGCCUGAUGGAGCAACGCCGCGUGCAGGAUGAAUGCCUUAGGGUUGUAAACUGCUUUUACGAGUGACGA